GUGCUUGCUUCGGAAACACAUAUACUAAAAUUGGAACGAUACAGAGAUGAUUAGCAUGGCCCCUGCGCAAGCAUGACACGCAAAUUCGUGAAGCAUUCCAUAUUUUU
This 107-nucleotide small nuclear RNA is filed under the name Balaenoptera musculus (blue whale). The record is from RNAcentral. Lineage: Eukaryota; Metazoa; Chordata; Mammalia; Artiodactyla; Balaenopteridae.